Molecule: ribosomal RNA, 388 nt
Filed under: uncultured Acetivibrio sp.
Lineage: Bacteria; Bacillati; Bacillota; Clostridia; Acetivibrionales; Acetivibrionaceae
Description: bacterial SSU rRNA
Rfam family: Bacterial small subunit ribosomal RNA
Source: RNAcentral
UCGGGAAUAUUGCGCAAUGGAGGAAACUCUGACGCAGUGACGCCGCGUGCAGGAAGAAGGUUUUCGGAUUGUAAACUGCUUUAGACAGGGAAGAACAAAGACAGUACCUGUAGAAUAAGCUCCGGCUAACUACGUGCCAGCAGCCGCGGUAAUACGUAGGGAGCAAGCGUUAUCCGGAUUUAUUGGGUGUAAAGGGUGCGUAGACGGGAAGGCAAGUUAGUUGUGAAAUCCCUCGGCUUAACUGAGGAACUGCAACUAAAACUAUCUUUCUUGAGUGCUGGAGAGGAAAGUGGAAUUCCUAGUGUAGCGGUGAAAUGCGUAGAUAUUAGGAGGAACACCAGUGGCGAAGGCGGUCUACUGGACGAUAACUGACGCUGAGGCGCGAAAG